GGCCCCGAACAUGUCGGACUGCAAACCCGGCCUCGGCUCUUUGCCCGGGGCUU
Molecule: transfer RNA, 53 nt
Filed under: Vipera berus (adder)
Lineage: Eukaryota; Metazoa; Chordata; Lepidosauria; Squamata; Viperidae
Also listed under: 3 other names
Description: tRNA-Cys
Source: RNAcentral